GAGAUACUCGCGUAGCCCGUGACGCGCGUGCACAGUGCACACUGCACACGCAUACUCGGCUGGCACUCUUGGCGCACACGCUGCGCAUCUCCUCUCGCUCCGGUCCGCGUAGCCUCCGGGCCGACGGAUCGAAAGUUUAUCGCGAUGUUCUCGAUACGAAAAUCGUUUUCUGACGCCGUCACUGCCAUAACCGUUCGGUGCCAAAAUUACACAAAACCGAGAGUCGCCGUCGCCGGCGUGACAGUCAUCCUUCUUUCUGUCUUUCUCUCUCUCCCAGUCUCUCUCUCUCUCUCUCUCUCAAUCUCUUUCUCCAUUCCGAGUGUAAUCGAUCUCUCGAACCGCUUUGAAAGUGGGUGAUCCUACUUACGGAGUAAUAAAAACGUUUCGAGGACGGUUGUACGCUAGCUGUCGUAGAUGUGUAUUUACGCGAUGCAACAAGGACCGUCUGUCGAACGAGAAUUUCGGAGCCGGCGAGGAUUCCGCUCGGGCGAAUUAUAAACAUCGAUUCUUCGGUGUCCUCGGUGAUACAACUUAUUUCGGGAGCCAACGCUACGCUGUUAUUCGAAUCGAUUCGGAGAAUAUUUUCGCUUCUAAUGCUAGCUGGCACGAAAUUCGGAAUAACCUUCUGGACUGAUGUGAUAUUUUCGAAAGAAACGAGUACCUUUAAAUAACCCGGAUUUCUAUGAAACUUUGCAUAGAAGAGUUUGUGCAAAUAUUUGGCAUUUUUGUAGCGACCCAUAUUCCCGUCAAGAGGAUGGAAAAUCGAGAAAGGAAUAGCUGCUACGGAAUUUAAGAAAACUUGUAUAGAAGUAGGAACAGAGGUUUUUUUCUUUUUGAGGAACACUCAAGAUUUCGGAAAAUUCAAGAUGGCGCCACCGUAACUUAUUUCCUUCCGUCGUUUUUAAAAAUAAUUCCGUCAAUCCUUGACUAUUCGGUAAGAUCUAGGUUAUAUCUGUGGCUAUAAGGAGAAACGCCACAAAUCGCUCGAAAACCUCAAAUAAAUAAAGCAAUUCGAAAAUAAAGCAUUAAGUGAUCACAAAAGUAAAUACGUGUGACAUACGGCGUCACAGAUGUCAGGUUGUCAUCUUUUCUCAUGAAUUGUUAUCGAAUUAGAAACUGAUCGAUUAACUUUUUUUUAGCUCCUAAUUAACAGUAUGUAUUCGGUACAGGAUUAUCUAUGUCUAAGGGAUAGCAGCCCAUACGGGGUAUCAGUAAUAGGAAAUAGAGCGAUUCUUUUUGCUUACAUUCAUCGGUUAUGAGAAUUUUACGUAACAAGUAAAACAGCGCUGUCACGUUCAGAAACAUUUCCCCUGAUUUGCGUAGAACAAUUUACGACAGUUGGAGAUUUGCAUUCGGGUCCUUAAUCGAGUAAUUACCAUUGGCAAUCGAUAGGUAAUGAUUAAACUGCUAGUUGAGGCGUCGAUGUCACGCUUUCCUCGAGGCCUGGCGCAUAAACUAGAUACAUGUAAACGGAAAUUUCGCAACCGAAGGAGCCGUGUUGUGCCCCGGUAGCUGGAACAGGUUUCGCGGGCCCGGGCGAACGCGUGAAACGUAUAAAACGCGCGUGCACGCGCACGGUCACGCUCGUUUUGCCGGGCCUUAGAAUCAAACGACGAGGGUGGCGUGGCGCAUUUAGCCACCAUGAAGAGGAGUGACCUUCGGACCGCGACAAAAGGCUACGUCACCCGUACAAUUGCCGUCUAACGUGUCGCCCGAGCGAGCCCCGGCUCCAAAGAAACGCGAAGCGUUCGCUCGUUCGUGGAAACAGUGGAACUCCGUCCCGCAUUCCGCUUCGGAUCCCCAUCGGACGAGCCAUAAUUAAUCGGAUCAUCUUUGCGCACGGAAUUCAUCGUUCGUCGCAGCCGCGAGAUCUUGUUCGACCGUGCAGUGGCAUCCUGGGAUCUCUCAUUGUGACAACAAAACUCCAAAUUGCAUCUCUGAUCAUACCGCGGACCUUUAUGCAAAUCCUCGAUAACUAUUUGUAUAAAAAAUAGUGACAGGCAGGCGAAUCGUGAUUUCACGUUUCGACUGUUACAUAAAUCUGGAUACGGAUAAGACGCUGAGGUCGUGCCGUAAUAGACGGUCUCGAAUAACGGAGGUCUCCGCUCGACUUAGGCGUUCCCGAUGCACUUGCGAACUAUAAUUUGAGGACACUAAAGCAGCGCGCGAUCACGGCGUUGACCGAUCGUUAAGUUACGUUACGUCACGCACGCGAUCGUUUCCUGAAAUGGUACAGCAGGCUUAACCCGCAUCUCGGAUAACGUUCUUUCGACAGCGUGCCCGAUUCCUAUCGCUUUUCGCGACAUCGUGGAUCUCAUUGAAAUCCGCGUCCCCGGACAGUCGCAGGAUCGCGAAAAUCUGCGGCUCGGAAAGUAGAGUCUUGUCGUGCCCUUGACACGAGCAGAUCCUGCAGGACACGAUCCUUGACACGGCAUCCGUAAUUAGAAGCCCACGCGGUGGACUGUUGGCCGUCUCUAGUAUCUCUAGCCUUUGCUGGCUCUUCUUUCGAAAGACGUCUCAGCGGCGUGAGACCUUCGGAACCAGAAUGGCGGCCGCCAGCCUUCGACGCGUUGACACUAAUACGUGGAACAAAAAGAUCAAUAGAAAAGUCGAUCGGAGCCGGGCAUUCGAUCCUGUCGAAAACAUACGAUCUGCUACGCUAAACCGAUGCCCACGCUAAAGUUCGAUCCGCAGUUUAUGUAAUUGAUAACGGAGCCCAGCCGGCGACAGCGGAUGUAAUUAAUACUAGCCGCGUUCUCCUUGUUGAAUGCGCGAAAUCUCCCCGCGGACUGUCUCGCUCGAUGCGUUCCAUGAGAUACGGCACUGUGUACAAUGUACGGCAAACGGUGACCCAUCUUCCGCCGUUCCGUCUCUCCUCUCUUCUCUCGCCGUCGAGCUCUCACUCUAGUGUUUACUCUGGGAUACGCUGGAAACGGUGACUAGUACCCACUCGUGUGUCACUCGAAUUUAGUUGGUUCUUCUCGGCGGAGAACAAGGGUGGAGCUCUUUGCUACUGGUUACAACGAGGCACUAAAAAUAUGUUACUGCCUACGGUACAUCAAAAAUUUAUUGUUUAUGCUUCCGAGAAAGACGUCCGAAUGUUGUGUCCGCUUUAGCAGCGAUACCGAUCGCAUGCACAGAUGGUUUGCUCGACGCGUUGACUAACGCGUGACUCAGAGGCGAGCCCCGCGGUUGUUUGUCCAAAUUUACAGAUUCAAUUCUGCGCUGACGCGUUAAGUUUGCAAAAUCUAGCUAGGCGAAAUGCGAAAUGCAAACAGACAGAUAUAGCAACGGCUAUGACAGAUCUUUCUGUGUUCUAUAGAAAGAAGACGCGGAGGCUCGGCCUCUCAACCGUUUAACUUUCCGGAUGCGAAUUGUUGAGGGGUUCUGAUUGUAUCUUUCU
Non-coding RNA from Megalopta genalis, 3403 nucleotides. The record is from RefSeq and is a predicted model, not a curated record. Lineage: Eukaryota; Metazoa; Arthropoda; Insecta; Hymenoptera; Halictidae.